RNAcentral lists this ribosomal RNA (424 nucleotides) under uncultured bacterium. Its description in RNAcentral is "partial 16S ribosomal RNA". It matches the Rfam family "Bacterial small subunit ribosomal RNA", at positions 359 to 775 of the family's 1533-position model. The record is from RNAcentral.
GAAUUUGGGACAAUGGGCGAAAGCCUGAUCCAGCAAUGCCGCGUGCAGGAUGAAGNCCNNCGGGUNGNAAACUGCUUUUGUACNNNNNGAAAAGCUUUGGGUUAAUACCCUGGAGUCAUGACGGUACCGUAAGAAUAAGCACCGGCUAACUACGUGCCAGCAGCCGCGGUAAUACGUAGGGUGCAAGCGUUAAUCGGAAUUACUGGGCGUAAAGCGUGCGCAGGCGGUUUUGUAAGACAGAGGUGAAAUCCCCGGGCUCAACCUGGGAACUGCCUUUGUGACUGCAAGGCUAGAGUACGGCAGAGGGGGGUGGAAUUCCGCGUGUAGCAGUGAAAUGCGUAGAUAUGCGGAGGAACACCGAUGGCGAAGGCAACCCCCUGGGCCUGUACUGACGCUCAUGCACGAAGGCGUGGGGAGCAAACAG